Long non-coding RNA from Uloborus diversus, 795 nucleotides. RefSeq lists it as uncharacterized. The transcript has 3 exons. Lineage: Eukaryota; Metazoa; Arthropoda; Arachnida; Araneae; Uloboridae. The record is from RefSeq and is a predicted model, not a curated record.
CCUGACCGGAGAACAAUAGGUCAACCGCGGCACUCCAAAGAAAUUGUCCAUCUUUUGAUCUAACCGGCACUUGGCGUUGGCUUGUAUAUCUGGCGAUUAGAUUAUUGGCAGGGUAUUCAUGUUUUUCCGGAAGGAAGCCAUUUUUUUUACGUUCGAGCGGUUUUUGGUGGAGAAAACCUAAGCAUCUUGUCUUCAACGAUGGUUCCUCUACAAAGCGGAUAUUUUUCCUAUAAAACUGGGCUUUGAACCUAGUAUCUUCCUGCUUUACAUAUUUCCUUCUUUGCAGUCUCCCUGUGAAUCGACUGGACUGCCCUCAAUUUGAGCAAUCUGAAGAUGGAAAAGGUUGACAAAGUUCCUUGAUAUCUUUCCAUUGAAAGAGUCUUGUUGAACAAGGUGGCAAGGGUUUUAGUUCUUUGAAAAAUACUGCUCCUGGACCCCUACCCCUCCAAAAGUUGAUGUUACCAGUUGUAUGUUUUGAAGAUGCUUGUGCUCUAUCUGGAUAUCUCCUCAAAAAUUGAAGAUUUGAACAGACUAUUUCACUUUACUACUAAUCCUGAAUGAUGUGUUGCUCUGUUUUGUCUAAUAUUAGCAAUGUGGUGCGCUAGGCUUUUCGAGUGGAAUGAUAAUUCAAUUACUCAGUGUAUGAAGAUUCUAAAAUGUACUUUAACUUGAGAAUCUUGUGAGAUUUAUUUUAUGUAUUCUUAUAUCAACUACUUUUGAAUUUUUAUUGUUAUAAAAAAGAUGUAUUGAAAUCAUGAACUAUGAAUGUACCUGUAAAAUGCAUAUAAAACUCUU